Non-coding RNA from Triticum urartu, 3002 nucleotides. Lineage: Eukaryota; Viridiplantae; Streptophyta; Magnoliopsida; Poales; Poaceae. The record is from RefSeq and is a predicted model, not a curated record.
UGUCCUUUUUAAAGUGACGGAUGGCUUCCUUCGAUGUAUGCUCUCCUCGCCGCCUCUACCCGCCGCCGCCCUCGGGCUUCUUCUCCGACCGUCCGCCGCCGCCCGCCAGUCUUCUUCUCCAGCCGUCCGCCGCCCGUCCUCCUUCCCCUCCGAAUCUGCCCCUAAUCUUCUCCGGCGCCGCCCAUAGCCUCCUCAAUCUCCAACCUAUUGUUCUCGUGCUUCUCUGAUUUGGAUCGAGAUAGGAGUCUUGGAUCGAGUUAGGGUCCGUGUUCUUCUCCAACAUAAAGCUACGGAGUGUCCUCAAUGGAGGGUCCUGUAAUAAGAAGGAAGGAUCCUCGACCGGAAUCUGCCCCAGGCAGGACCUCAAUGGCGACUUGCAGGCCCGGCCUCUCUCUCUCUCUCUCUCUUUCGACUCCCUCUUUUUGCGACCUCAAGAAGCUACGGCGGCUCAUCCUCGAGGCCAAGCUCGUGCAAUUCCGACGACUCCAGGCCUAAUUUGUUUCCUGCUCUAUCUGGUCCAAGUGAUGCGCCAAGGGGAUUUGCACCAGCCUUCAGGAUUGUUCAGUUUCAUGCUAAGAAAAAAAUAGGGUUGAGGGGAACCACUUCUUUGGCGUGUUGUUCCAAUAGUUCAUGAUGAUGAGAGUCCAUGCCAGCGCAACUCUCGCAAUUCUCUGAACUCUUUCUGAAGUAUACUGCAAGAUUCGAUUAUAGUGUGGCCUUCAAAUCAGAGCUACAAUAUUGCCUUUGUAGCUGCAUGGUGGGUAUCAAUUUUUGUUAUCACUGAUCUUCCCAAACUGAAGCUUAGAGAGAUCAAAAUGUUACAUGCUGUAGGGCCAGGAGUGAACUAAACUCGUCCGACAGUGUUCUACGGUUCGCCGCAACUUCGUAGGCCGGUUUUCCACUUGAGGUAUGUAGACAAGGAGGAUUGAAAUCAUGGUAUUUGGUUCUCUGCAAUCUAUAGUAAUAUGUCUUUGGUCUUAUUUUCCUACUGCUAGUUGUGUUUGUGGUACAUAACACUCUGAUGUUGAAAGGGUGGAUCAGGUCAUGGAGUACCUAUGCCCCCAUCGAGUAGCUUAUGCAUCCUAUAUUUAGCUUUUCAAGAUUAUUAGAUGUUUUAUGUCAAGAUGAAUACAUGGAUAGUCCGCUAUUUGCAGUAUUGUUAUAAUUGCUCCCUGCUUCCGAUAAAAUGAUUUCUUUUGUUCAUUAGAGUUACAGUAUUACAAUGCAAUGGUUGUUAUAAUAUGGGGAACUGGUUAAUUAUAAGAGAGUGUCACAUAUGAGGAUGAAAGCAUGGAUCAGCUCCUGUAGUAGUUAUCUUUGAUUUACGAUAGAGUUUACUUAUGGUUAUAGAAUGGAACUUUGUAUUAUUUUGCCAUCCUAUUUCCUUUUUGAAAAUAGCUACAGCAACUGUCAGUUUAAAUUGAUGCGAGCAAGUAAAUAACGCAAUUUUCUUAAUAACUUUUGCCGCACAUAUUGUAACUGUAAGCCGCUAUUCAGGAUCAAGGUAACUCUCUAUGUAAUUCCAGAGCAGAGGUUUAUAAGGUAACUCUCUAUGAAACAGAUGUUUUGUGAACGAGCAGAUUUGAUGUUUGAUUUGCAUAAACAUGGGAAAUUCAUAGUUAUUUACUAUUCAAAUUUGAAGCUAAUAUGGUAUUUGAUUCAUGCAUAGGGCUGAAGGUUUUACUCAAAUUCGUGUUAUACUAGAGUUAGCGCCUAAAAAAAUGUCUGUAUCUCUUGGGGGAGGAGGUGGGAGAGAUGUAGCAGGUAGAAGAUGGACCGUGGAUAAGAAAGAGGAAGGGAUAAAGUGUCAAUCGGCAAUGAAAACUUUAGUAUUUGUGAUGUAAAUUUGAAUGCUAAAGUUUGAAUUUUUUUCCUGGUCUUAAUUUUUUCUUUCAAAUGCAAGUGGAUUAAUCUGCAUAAAAUUUAAUAAUAUGUUGUAUUCAACUUUAUUUGGAUUUGCCUUCCACUCAUAGGUUGGAGUCUAGAGUUUACGCAUACCGUUGCAUCAGUAUUGUUGCAUCAUGGUCAAUUCUCUUGGACAGAUAGCUGAGGCCAUUGCAUAAUUUCAGAGGUACUUAUAAAUAUAAAAUGGCUUUCUUUAGCAAAAAUGCAAAAGUUACGAUGUUUAUUUUGAUAACCUUGACAAUGUCAAGUACAUAGAAUUGGAAUGGAGCCGAGCAACCCUGGUUCAUUGUAACUGGUGUUUGCUUCACAUCGAAUCAUUGAAGGAGUAUGAUGCUGCUUUGGAAGGAGGCUUUUCUCAAUCUGUGCUGCUUUCGGAGCGAGGCUGGGCCACAUCCACACUAUUGUCGCUCGCCUGCCUGGGCCUGGGACGUGUUAUUGAAGCCUUCACCAUGCUACAGAGGACAGUCAUGAAGCUCAGUGUUAGAAGACAAGUUGGCUUCGUAUAUUGGCGAAAUCUCAACCCAUGUUCUUCAGUUGGCUUCAUAUAUUGGAUGUUGACACUUCGCUUGCUUCUGAUAAGAAUGCUUGGAAAGUUAUAAUGAAAAAUGGAAAACUUGUGUAGUUUUACAAGACAAGUAAGCGCCUAUGACUUGCAGUCAUCUCCUUUCCUAUCCAACACAACGCAAGUGCGCACGACAGCUAGCACAACAAACAAACACCAAGCAAGCACACGUACACAACAGUAGCAUGUAGCAAGCUAUCACCCACGCGCCCGACACAACAGCCGACUCGGGACUGGAUGACCACGACGUGCGUGGGUUGAGGCCUCACCGAAGGAGCGGCGCUUGCGGUGUCUGCAUGUUCGGCCUCGCUACACUCCAGAAUUGUCACAUCACGGAGCGCUGCAGUAGGGCAACGAUUCUGCUAGAGGUAAAUAGGGGUUUGGGGUGCUAUUGUCCAAGAUUGUGCUACCAAGGAUUGUGGAUCUUAACUAUUAGACUAUUCAUUUGUAAUCUUAAUCUAUAAAAAGAAAGUAAGGUUGUAUUGUAUUUAGCACUCUUGUGAUAAGAAUGCUUUUUUUGUUGUUCUUAUUAAAA